CAGCAGUCAAGAAUAUUAGUCAAUGCUCGAAAGAGUGAACUAGCUAACUGAAAUCUUAAUUACUAAAAAUAUUAAGAUAAGGUAAGAGAAAAUAAUGAUAUUAUCUUACUAUUAGUGUCGUCUAAAUUUGGUGCCAGAAGACUCGGUAAGACCUUAGACACGAACGUUAAUCGUCAUAAUCAGGCGUAAAGGGUGUGUAGGCGGCUUUAAAAAAUAUAUUUUUUAUUUUUAAUAAAGCUAGAAUCUAAAAGAGGGUAAGCUAAACAACAUAAUUAAUUAGGACUGACAACUUAUAAUAAUGUGGAGUACUAAAGGUUAAAGCUAUUUAUCUACUUAAGAUUGACGCUCAGAAACGAAGGGGAGAAUAAGAAACUUAGAUUAGAUACCUAAUUAUCUCUCUCAGUCAACGAUGAAUGGUAGUUAUUAAAAUAAUAUAAAAUUAGUAACGAGGUUAACACGAUGACCAUUCCGCCUUGUUAGUAAGACUGCAAAGUUGAAAACAAAAAAAUUAGUCGGUCUUGAAGCAAACGAAGUGAAGCAUGUUAUUUAAUUCGAUAAUCCGCA
RNAcentral lists this ribosomal RNA (564 nucleotides) under Rossbeevera griseovelutina. RNAcentral's name for it is "partial small subunit ribosomal RNA". It matches the Rfam family "Bacterial small subunit ribosomal RNA", at positions 349 to 963 of the family's 1533-position model. Lineage: Eukaryota; Fungi; Basidiomycota; Agaricomycetes; Boletales; Boletaceae. The record is from RNAcentral.